GAGUUUGAUCAUGGCUCAGGACGAACGCUGGCGGCGCGCCUAACACAUGCAAGUCGAACGGAGAUGAUAAAAGCUUGCUUUGAUCAUCUUAGUGGCGGACGGGUGAGUAACGCGUGAGCAACCUGCCUUUCAGAGGGGGAUAACGUCUUGAAAAGGACGCUAAUACCGCAUAACAUUAACUUCCCGCAUGGGGGGAUAAUCAAAGGAGCAAUCCGCUGAAAGAUGGGCUCGCGUCCGAUUAGCCAGUUGGCGGGUAGAGGCCCACCAAAGCGACGAUCCGGUAGCCGGACUGAGAGGUUGAACGGCCACAUUGGGACUGAGACACGGCCCAGACUCCUACGGGAGGCAGCA
This 351-nucleotide ribosomal RNA is filed under the name uncultured bacterium. RNAcentral describes it as "bacterial SSU rRNA". It matches the Rfam family "Bacterial small subunit ribosomal RNA", at positions 9 to 353 of the family's 1533-position model. The record is from RNAcentral.